CGUAGCAGUCGAGCGACAGACGAGGAGCUUGCUCCUUUGACGUUAGCGGCGGACGGGUGAGUAACACGUGGGUAACCUACCUAUAAGACUGGGAUAACUUCGGGAAACCGGAGCUAAUACCGGAUAAUAUUUCGAACCGCAUGGUUCGAUAGUGAAAGAUGGCUCUGCUAUCACUUAUAGAUGGACCUGCGCCGUAUUAGCUAGUUGGUAAGGUAACGGCUUACCAAGGCAACGAUACGUAGCCGACCUGAGAGGGUGAUCGGCCACACUGGAACUGAGACACGGUCCAGACUCCUACGGGAGGCAGCAGUAGGGAAUCUUCCGCAAUGGGCGAAAGCCUGACGGAGCAACGCCGCGUGAGUGAUGAAGGUCUUCGGAUCGUAAAACUCUGUUAUUAGGGAAGAACAAACGUGUAAGUAACUGUGCACGUCUUGACGGUACCUAAUCAGAAAGCCACGGCUAACUACGUGCCAGCAGCCGCGGUAAUACGUAGGUGGCAAGCGUUAUCCGGAAUUAUUGGGCGUAAAGCGCGCGUAGGCGGUUUUUUAAGUCUGAUGUGAAAGCCCACGGCUCAACCGUGGAGGGUCAUUGGAAACUGGAAAACUUGAGUGCAGAAGAGGAAAGUGGAAUUCCAUGUGUAGCGGUGAAAUGCGCAGAGAUAUGGAGGAACACCAGUGGCGAAGGCGACUUUCUGGUCUGUAACUGACGCUGAUGUGCGAAAGCGUGGGGAUCAAACAGGAUUAGAUACCCUGGUAGUCCACGCCGUAAACGAUGAGUGCUAAGUGUUAGGGGGUUUCCGCCCCUUAGUGCUGCAGCUAACGCAUUAAGCACUCCGCCUGGGGAGUACGACCGCAAGGUUGAAACUCAAAGGAAUUGACGGGG
This 882-nucleotide ribosomal RNA is filed under the name Staphylococcus sp. RNAcentral's name for it is "bacterial SSU rRNA". It matches the Rfam family "Bacterial small subunit ribosomal RNA", at positions 54 to 918 of the family's 1533-position model. Lineage: Bacteria; Bacillati; Bacillota; Bacilli; Caryophanales; Staphylococcaceae. The record is from RNAcentral.